Molecule: long non-coding RNA, 3039 nt
Organism: Pieris napi
Lineage: Eukaryota; Metazoa; Arthropoda; Insecta; Lepidoptera; Pieridae
Exons: 2
Source: RefSeq, a predicted model, not a curated record
CACAUUUUUUUAGAACGUGUAAAUAAAUAUAUUAAUAAAUAAAAGUAGUUAAAAAUCCAAUGGCUGUAUUAUAAGUUAAAUAGAACCAAACAAAAGUAAUAACUAACUAUAUUAUCGAAAACUCAGCUCAUCAGUAUUCAAUAUUAUAUUCAUACAUAAUUAUGCGUAACCUGAAAUUAAUUGAAUUAUUAAUAAUUUCAUAGAUAUAGAGGAGAGUAACUAAAUGUGGGCUAGUGCAUAUAUGGGCAAGUAACAAUUCUCGAAAACCUACAAUCGAAAGACGCAUUAAACGACGAUCGUGAAAUGUUUCAAAGUACUAAGAACGACAACGCUUAAGCCUGACAACGGAACUUAGUCCUGAAGAAGCGGCUGCGAUGACCUUAGGUAGAAAAACAACGUUGGGGAGACAAUUAGAAAACGUUUUAGUAGAAUAUGUUUUAACAUUGGAAAGCAAAUGUCAUAGAUUACAAGAACUGAUCUUCACAGAAUGGCAUGUUGGCAGCACGUAACAUAACUAUUCAGCAGAUCGUGUCUAUGACGUUAAUGAACCGGUUUAAAAAUAUGAACUUACAACUGUAGAGAUGUUGUGUUGAUCCAAAUGAAUAUUUGAAUGAAUAAUUGGUUCAAACACUUCAUAAAUCAUACACACCCAACACCAGACUUAAGAGUUUUACUGAUAUUAGAUGGACACUUUAGCCGCUUUUAUUUUAUUUUUUUUUAUUUAUGUCAUAGACUUGACUAUGUAGAUAGAAUAAUGUCGAUAUUGUAUCUCUAUCUCUUAUAAGAUAAAUUUUUUAUAAUUGUUAUUUUCGUACAAGAUAUCAUAAGUUUUUAUUUGUAGCCCAUAUUUGAGUACCUGUUUCAUAUUUAGCGUCUAUUUUGAUAUUUUGUUUAUUGCUCAAUUUAAUAAUAUAUUAUAAUAAUAGGAACAUAAUAUUGUUACUUCGGUCUUUAAAAAUGUAUGAUCUUUAAAAAUGUAGGAAAUGUGUGAUUAUUAUGACGUCAAUAAAUCGUUAAUUUUUUAAUAGUUUUUUGUUUUUGAGACAAAAACAAAAUGGUUAUUGCCAUAUUUGGUUACUCUCCUCUAAUACAAUAGGAACACGUACCUAUAAAUUAAUGCAAGAAAGCUAUUAAACGGCAGGAAAUUAGAAAAUGUAGUAAUUUUAAUUAUCAAAUAUAUCUUUCUGUUGUUUUGUUAUAACAAUUUAAAUAUAAUAUACGGGCUUAUGUAUACAACACAUUUUGUAUUGCGCCGUGAGCAAUAAAGUAUCAGUUAUCCUUAAUUUCCUACACACUCCUUGUAGGUAAAACCUUGAUCGCAACAUAUGCAACACCCAAAAUAUCCUUAAUCAAUUACAUUCAAACAACAAAAAAGUGAAAGGAUCCAACUUUCUUAUACGGCACAUCUUCAGAUAAUUUUUUUUUUUUUUUUGUGAAAUUGUAUGUUUUGAUCUUUUAAGAAUUGGUACGCUCUAUUCUUGAAGGUCCCUAAGUCAAAUUUGUUCGGAAAUAAUUCAGUGGGCAGCUGGUUCCACAUACUGAUGGUGCGCUGCAGAAAUUGUCUUAAGAAACGCGUAGUUGUGAAACUACAGACGUCAAGGUGAUACGGAUGGUAUUUUGUAUUCUGCCUUUACGUCCAAUGAUGAAACUCAGCUGCAAGUAUUAUCCGAACAACCCCACUGAACACUCUACCCACCUAUGUGUAAGGUAUACAAGGAGGUGCUACGGUUUCGAUAAAUAAAACUUUACCUCCUUUUGCAUUGUAAAUAAUUAUAAAUACUUCGUAGUUGUCUGGCGGAUAUGCUUACAAAAUGAUUGCAAAGAGAGUGUAUAUUAUUUUAUCGAAACAACAUUUCUUUUAUUAUCUCGUAUCAAGCAUGUCUUUGUGAAAUGGCAUCAAAUAUAAGAUAAGAAAAUUGCUCCCGAUUUAAGCAAAUCCAGUACAAUUAACUUAUUGAUCAGGCGUAUGGCCCAUCACCUCACAUUCUAACGAAAGAUACUGUCCGAGCUGCCCAUACAAAACAGUUUAUGGCGUGGAGUUUAUAUAGUUAAUAUGACAAAUCUGAAACGCUUCUCGAGAGCACCCAGGAAGUGCACAUAUUGUAAUAUGAAAAUUAUAAUCUAAUAAGUGAUAUAAAAUAUACCACCAUUUAAACAUCUAAUAAUUGUUUUAUCCUCAUUGUGAACACACCGUUACUUAUGAAAUUUGUAUAUAAUUCGAGAAUUUCUAUAGUUCAAGCACAUCCAGAAAAAUGUCUUUGAGAAACAAUUUCCUACUUGGUUUUGUGCUUUGUGGGGCUCUUGCCGCAGAAAUAUCAGAGAUCGAUGACCCCGAAGGCCGCGUCGUGGGUGGGACAGAUGCACCAGAAGGGGCUAUACCAACUAUCUCUUCAGCGUUCAGACCAAAAUAACUUCACAUUCUGUGGUGGCGCCAUCAUUCCUAACAGAUGGAUCCUUAUUGCUGCACAUUGCCUACUAUUCAUAUUUAGUUUUAAUUUAGAAAAAUUAUUAAUUAAAAGACUGUAAUGCCUACCAAAGCACAAAACGAAGUAGGAAAUAGUUUCUCAAAGACAUUUUUCUGAAUGUGCUUGAACUAUAGAAAUUCUCGAAUUAUAUACAAAUUUCAUAAGUAACGGUGUGUUUACAAUAAGGAUAAAAUAAUUAUUAGAUGUUUAAAUGGUGGCAUAUCUUUAAUCACUUAUUAAAUCAUAAUUUUCCUAUUACAAUAUGUGUACUUUCUGGGGGCUGCCCCGAAUCGUUUCAGAUUUGUCAUUUUCACUAUAUAAACUCCACGCCAUAAACUGUGUUACAUGGGCAGCUCGGACAGUAAUUAAAAUUCUUAUUUUUUCUAAUUAAUUGUCUUUCUCCAUUAAUUACGUAAAAAGUACGUGUACCUAUUGUAUUAUAUCUAUGAAAUGAUUAAUUAUUCAAUUAAUUUCAGGUUACACUUAAAUAUGUAUGAAUAAAAAUUAGAUAUGCUAUUGUGAUAUAUUGUAACUGAUGAGCUGAGUUUUCGAUAAUAUAGUUAGUUAUUACUUU